UAAUUUAGAUUUUCCUGAUGAUCACGAUG
Molecule: non-coding RNA, 29 nt
Filed under: Mus musculus (house mouse)
Lineage: Eukaryota; Metazoa; Chordata; Mammalia; Rodentia; Muridae
Source: RNAcentral